AGUGAACGCUGGCGGUAGGCCUAACACAUGCAAGUCGAACGGCAGCACAGGAGAGCUUGCUCUCUGGGUGGCGAGUGGCGGACGGGUGAGGAAUACAUCGGAAUCUACUUUUUCGUAGGGGAUAACGUAGGGAAACCUACGCUAAUACCGCAUACGACCUACGGGUGAAAGCAGGGGACCUUCGGGCCUUGCGCGAUUGAAUGAGCCGAUGUCGGAUUAGCUAGUUGGCGGGGUAAAGGCCCACCAAGGCGACGAUCCGUAGCUGGUCUGAGAGGAUGAUCAGCCACACUGGAACUGAGACACGGUCCAGACUCCUACGGGAGGCAGCAGUGGGGAAUAUUGGACAAUGGGCGCAAGCCUGAUCCAGCCACACCGCGUGGGUGAAGAAGGCCUUCGGGUUGUAAAGCCCUUUUGUUGGGAAAGAAAUCCAGCUGGCUAAUACCCAGUUGGGAUGACGGUACCCAAAGAAUAAGCACCGGCUAACUUCGUGCCAGCCGCCGCAGUAA
This 506-nucleotide ribosomal RNA is filed under the name uncultured bacterium. RNAcentral's name for it is "partial 16S ribosomal RNA". It matches the Rfam family "Bacterial small subunit ribosomal RNA", at positions 29 to 523 of the family's 1533-position model. The record is from RNAcentral.